RNAcentral lists this unclassified non-coding RNA (241 nucleotides) under uncultured Pseudeurotium. RNAcentral describes it as "sequence contains ITS2". The stretch from base 1 to 52 matches the Rfam family "5.8S ribosomal RNA", at positions 103 to 154 of the family's 154-position model. Lineage: Eukaryota; Fungi; Ascomycota; Leotiomycetes; Thelebolales; Pseudeurotiaceae. The record is from RNAcentral.
AACGCACAUUGCGCCCCCUGGUAUUCCGGGGGGCAUGCCUGUUCGAGCGUCAUUACAACCCUCAAGCUCUGCUUGGUAUUGGGCUCUGCCGGUCCCGGCAGGCCUUAAAAUCAGUGGCGGUGCCAUUCGGCUUCAAGCGUAGUAAUUCUUCUCGCUUUGGAGGCCCGGGUGUGUGCUUGCCAGCAACCCCCAAUUUUUUCAGGUUGACCUCGGAUCAGGUAGGGAUACCCGCUGAACUUAA